Molecule: ribosomal RNA, 253 nt
Filed under: uncultured bacterium
Lineage: Bacteria
Description: partial 16S ribosomal RNA
Rfam family: Bacterial small subunit ribosomal RNA
Source: RNAcentral
UACAGAGGUCUCAAGCGUUGUUCGGAUUCAUUGGGCGUAAAGGGUGCGUAGGCGGCGCGGUAAGUCGGAUGUGAAAUCUCGGGGCUUAACUCCGAAACUGCAUUCGAUACUGCCGUGCUUGAGGACUGGAGAGGAGACUGGAAUUUACGGUGUAGCGGUGAAAUGCGUAGAUAUCGUAAGGAAGACCAGUGGCGAAGGCGGGUCUCUGGGCCGAUACUGACGCUGAGGAGCGAAAGCGUGGGGAGCAAACAGG